AGUGAACGCUGGCGGUAGGCCUAACACAUGCAAGUCGAACGGCAGCACAGUAAGAGCUUGCUCUUACGGGUGGCGAGUGGCGGACGGGUGAGGAAUACAUCGGAAUCUACUUUUUCGUGGGGGAUAACGUAGGGAAACUUACGCUAAUACCGCAUACGACCUACGGGUGAAAGCAGGGGAUCUUCGGACCUUGCGCGAUUGAAUGAGCCGAUGUCGGAUUAGCUAGUUGGCGGGGUAAAGGCCCACCAAGGCGACGAUCCGUAGCUGGUCUGAGAGGAUGGUCGGCCACACUGGAACUGAGACGCGGUCCAGGCGCCUACGGGAGGCAGCAGUGGGGAAUAUUGGACAAUGGGCGCAAGCCUGAUCCAGCCAUACCGCGUGGGUGAAGAAGGCCUUCGGGUUGUAAAGCCGUUUUGUUGGGAAAGAAAAGCAGCAGGUUAAUACCCCGCUGUUCUGACGGUACCCAAAGAAUAAGCACCGGCUAACUUCGUG
RNAcentral lists this ribosomal RNA (492 nucleotides) under uncultured bacterium. Its description in RNAcentral is "partial 16S ribosomal RNA". It matches the Rfam family "Bacterial small subunit ribosomal RNA", at positions 29 to 507 of the family's 1533-position model. The record is from RNAcentral.